RNAcentral lists this long non-coding RNA (848 nucleotides) under Homo sapiens (human). Its description in RNAcentral is "HSALNT0108397". The record is from RNAcentral. Lineage: Eukaryota; Metazoa; Chordata; Mammalia; Primates; Hominidae.
CCUGCUCCAAGUGGGUUGUGCAUGACUGGGCUUCCACACUCCAAAGAGGAGUUCCAUUUCAAGGAUGUCACAUUUGUAAUGUUUCUGUCAUCCUCUGGAUUAACUGCUGUAUAAUUGCAGUUUGGUACUAAGAAUGCCCUUAGAAACCAUGUGCUGAAGAUGGCAGUGCUUUUGUCAGCCUGGGUUCCUGAAUAACUGCAUGGAACAGAGCCUUUACCAUAUACCCCAACCCCAAACAAAGAACACCUUCAUUGGACUAUUACACAAAAUAAACAUGGCCAUUCUUGAUAGACAUGUUGACUGAUGGACUGAGAGAUAUAGAUACAUGCCAUGAGAUCUCUUUAUGAGCAGUGGUCUUAUGGAUAUCUGCAUGACCUCUGCUGAAGUAAAAUACUGUGGUUCGUGAGAAGACGUGACCUUUGGAUACAGCUGGUCUAGUCCUGGCUCUGCUGUGUCAGUGAAAGUGGAACAGUUACAUGGCUCUCCCGAAUCUCUGUUUUCACUUGGUUAAAUGAGGGUUACAUGUACUUACUUCCAGUGUUGUUAUGAGAAUUAAAUGAGAUUAAAUGUUAAAAUUUGUGAGCGGUCAAUAUAUGUACUUCUUUUCUCCCCCUCAGUCUCUUAAGAAUAUUCUACACCAGUAUUGCAGAAUAAAGAAAAAUGGAUAUGUUAAUUUGUUUGAUAUAAUCAUUCCACAAUGUAUACAUAUAUCAGGUGGGGAGCAGUGGCUCAUGCCUGUAAUCCCAGCACUUUGGGAGGCCGAGGCAGGCAGAUCACUUGAGGCCAGAAGUUCGAGACCAGCCUGUCAACAUGGCAAAAACCUGUCUCUACUAAAAAAUUUAAAAAUU